This is a long non-coding RNA of Gallus gallus (chicken), 20682 nucleotides long. RefSeq lists it as uncharacterized. The record is from RefSeq and is a predicted model, not a curated record. The transcript has 8 exons. NCBI's taxonomy places the organism in Eukaryota, Metazoa, Chordata, Aves, Galliformes, Phasianidae.
GGCCCCCUUCCUUCCUUCCUUCCUGCCUCCCUCCCUCCCUCCUCGGUGCUCCCGCCGUCCUCCCGCCGCGACCCCUCACCAUGCGUCGACCGCGCCCGGGAUGCCUGUAGGCAGCCGCUGCGCUGCGCUCCCCCUCGGCGGUGCGUGGCCGGGCCCCGCCUGACGCACACAUACACACGCGCGCGCGCGGGCCCGGGGCGACUUCCCUCCUCAGAAAGGGACGGCGCGGUGCGGCUGGGCUCAGCGCGUGGAGAGAGCUAAGGGUCUGCUUCUGGAUGGCAGCCAGGAGGUUCUCGGGUCCCCUGACACUAUUUUAAGGGUUUCUCUUAAAUUCUGGGUGUGCUCACCUUGCAUCUCGUAGUGCGUGACUUAGGUGGAGGCAGGCACGUUGCCCCGUGGGAUGCUGGGGUUCGCAGUGUCACAGAGAGCAUCCCGAGUUGGGUGCACAGGGAUCAUCGAGUGCAGCUCCUGGCUCUGCACAGGAACACCCAGAAUUCAGUCCCUGUGUCUGAGAGCGGUGUCGAGACGCUUCUUGAACCCACAGCCCUGGGCAGCCCAUUCCAUGCCCACCUCCCUCCGGUGCAGCCCCUGUCCCUGACCCCCAGCUGCCCCUCCCCUGACACAGCUCCAUGCCGUUCCCUCGGGCCCUGUCGCUGUCACACAGAGCAGAGCUCAGCGCUGCCCCUCCGCUCCCUGUGAGGAGCUGCAGACUCCAUGAGGCCUCCCCUCAGCUCCUCUGCUCUGUGCUGAGCCAACACAGGGAACUCAGCUGCUCCUCGUACCUCUUGUCCUCUGGACCCUUCCUCGUCUUUGUAGCUCUCCUUUGGAUGGGACAAAAGCAGCCCAGGUCAUACCGGUGAGAUUCCACUCCCCUCUCGCCGAGUUCUUCUUUGUUUACAACAUUAUUCAGAAACAUAUUGACAAGUCUCACGCUGUGAUUUCCAUGUAGAGUUUACAGCAGCUGCCCCAGAAACAGUCACCCAGGAAAGUUAGUGGCUAGAGAAUCUACCCACACCACCUGGACCACAGCAGAAUUUCCCUGCUGACAAAAGCAUCACUUGCUGGUGAGAGGGAACCCCUUAUGACCUGGAUCUUUACAGUGAUGCUUGCUGGUAUUAUCUUGAAAAGUGUAAGUUGCUCAUGGCAGAAGUCAGACCCUUUUCUCUGAAAGACGCAGAACGAGAAGAUAGUCACUUACAAUUAACUCCAUCAAUGUCUCCUCCUUCUUGGUAGGUCUAAACCACAAGUUGAAAUGCUGACAUCAUAUAAAUGGCUUAGGUUCAUAUGUCAAACGUGUUUCUUUCUGCCUUGCUAGGUUGUUCUGCUGCAGAGGUGCUCAUCGGCAUUUCUUGAAAUGAAGAAUGGUUUAGUGUCAAAGGUGCAAAGCAAUACUUGUCAUCAUUUUCCCAAGUGAUACAGUGAAGUACUGGAGGAGAGGGGAUCCAAUACCUCAGGAGAUCACCUUUCUCCAUCUCUAUUCCAAUAAUUUUUAUGUAAAAUACAGAACAAGAUACCUAUAAAUCACUUCUGAGGAGGACUGUGGUCCCAGAGCUCAUAGCAUUUCCUGGCUAUGUACCAUUUCAGAGCAAUUUCAUUCCAUGUAUGCCUACACUUCCACUGCAUAUCCCUCAAAUGGAUCAAGCCAAGUUGGAAAGGAGCAAAUCCCUGUGUAAACAUCAAUAUCGUCAAUUAAUUAGGAAACACAGCAAGAUAAAUAAUGAGGCCCCAAGAAAGGUUAACACCACAAAAAGAAAAAAAAAAGGAAAAAGAAGAAAGUACUGCAGUUAGCGGAGUGAAGAAACUCUUGAAACACUGUUGUCUGAAACAAAAGCAAGGCACUCUCCCUUAACACCUGAUAUAUUCCUGAAUUCUGCCUAGACGAAGGCAUGUUCACACUGAGAGAGCUGUGAGGAAGGUAGGAGAUUUAUUCUGCAUUAAUUCUUCUAUCACCAUCGUGACCUGUCACUGGCUGCACUCUACGAUGGGUCUGUGCACUGGAGUUGAAAUGAAGGACGGUUCGGUAGGUGACGGGAAUGGGAGAGUAUCACAGUUAAGACUAUCCAUGGAAGACUGAAGCACACCGGCUACAUGAAAUCUCACGUGGGGCUCUGGACCUGCUCCCUCCGUUCACAUCCCACUGAAUAAAUAAACCUCGCCCGACAAAAAGCAAUUUCACUGCACUGUGCUGAAAACUCAGUGGAAGGGCCCGCUCACAAGGAGCGUCCACGACCCCUUCGCUGGUGCUCAGUGCCUGGCAGGCUCUGUCCCUAGGCAGAAGUGAUUUCCCAAGGGACCUUGUGUCUGACACAAGGAGACAAAGGUAAACAUACUUUCUGAUUCGGCUUCUGUAUGUUUUUGUAUGCGCACAUGUGUGUGAGUGUGUGUAUAUAUAUAUAUGUAUAUAUAUAUAUAUAUUUAGUAUAUACAAAAGCAAGUUCAGUCAAAAUAUAUUUGUCUUGCUGGUCAGGCUUGUUACAGCAACCUACAAGAAACAUUAGCUUCUCUGAUAUUUAAUUAUGCUAUUAUGUUUGCACAUAAGCUUAAAAGUCAAUACAAAAAGCAAUACUUUUCCAAAUAUUAUCUGCAGGUAAACCGGAAAUAUUAACUAUAGUGAUUAGAAGUCUGUUUCCCUAUUGACACUACUAUAAAUCUUGAUAUAAGAAUAAUUUUUUCAUAAAAGCACAUCCAAACAUAGUAAGUGAUAAAAUACCAGAUUACUAUUUGAAAACCAUACAGUGACUCGAUAUCUGGGUUAUCCUUUGCAGCAAUUAGGCAAUUCAUUUGGCAUCUGUUUUGAUUGUAUAAUUUAAUUUCCAUAUAAACAGCAUAGUUUAAAAAAAGACAAAAGCUAGAAUGUUUAAAGCUAACAAAAGAUACAGUGACAUCAGGUUGACAUUCAAAAAUUUCCUUAGCAAAAUGACCAACAAAAUUUUGACUUAAUACAGUGCAUAUAAAGUUUUUUUUAGAACUAAAAUCUUUAAAUAUUAUUUGAAUUUAGCAAAACAUGAGCAAGAUUUUAAUAUCAAAGUGCUAAACAGUACUGCCUUAGAAGUCACUGCAAAUGAACUGUAAAAUAGCUCUGCUUGUGAUCUGACAGAUAUUUUAUAUACAAAUGGUUAAUAAAAAGACACGCGCACGCUCACGCACACACACACACAAAUAUAGGUAUAUACAUAUAUAUAUAUACACAUUAUAUAUAUGUAUAUAGUUUUCCAACUGGUGUAUCUGAGUCAGUGUGAACACCCCAUUUCCUUAUCGUGUGUAACAGGGCUCCUAUGAGCUGGCAGUCAUUGCAAUAAAUACAGGCAAAGCCAAUACAAUAUACCAUGCAUACAAACGUUUAUACAAAUAAAGACACUAUGCAACAAAUUAUUUCAUAUUAAUAUGGCAUCAACAGUAUAAACAUACAAAAAGGAGUACGAACACGGAAUGUUUAAACGCAGCUCACUAUAUCCUUCCUAGCACUUACAUUCAUACUAUUUUACAAGACUCGCUUGUUCUCGAAACCCAUCGUGCGUCUGUUUACUAACCAGGUACUUCUCUUGAAGUCUAAAGGCAAACUAUCCCUGAUGCAGACCCUGUGCGCUCCAGCCACUACUUACUCGCAUCUCCUGGUCUAGGGAACAACUGAGCCGCGGUCGUUCCCGUGUCUCCCACAGACAUUUGUCAGUAAGUCACGCUACACGGAGUCAAGUUUGGAAAACUCUGUCACGUAAGUUAGUGCACGUCAACUUCUCACUUGGUUUCUUCCUUUUAUUUUCAUAUUAAAAUAAAUUAGUUAAGAAACAAGACUUAGUAAGACAGCACUUUAAAAAAUUGCACUUGAACAUGGGAGCUAACAGCCAUCGUCAUUUUGCUAUAUUGGAUUUAUAUGAAAUGUUCAAUUGGAUGUACUUUGUUAAAAAAGUGAGAUUUUUGUUUCGAUUGUGCUGAUGUAUGUGCCCUUGAUGCAGGAAGUAUGCUAAAGGUAUCCUCACAAAACACAUACUACCCUGGCAAACAACUAUUUGCUGUUCUUGUUUUCAAACACACAGCUUCUACCACUGUAUUCCUCAUGUCCCAUGAGGUGUUAAACAACAGGUUUGAAACAGUCAUGUUAACCUUUUACUGCUGCUGGGAUAGCAUUGUCCAAAAGUGCCAUAUUAGCCGUUUAAAAAACCCAAGUCACGCACACGCACGCACACACACAAAAAAACCAACAAAAAAAAAAAAAAAGAAACAAACGAAGAACACAACCCCAAAACAGUAAGCCAGUAAGUUUUAGGCCUCAUGUUGUAAGGACAAAGCGCCAGAAAAGACCUCAUUUUAGAGCUGGAGCUGCUUUUCUGUUAAGUGAGGGCAGAAAUGUUAGCGGUAAGUCACGAUCCGUUUGCCUGCUCUGGUGGGCAUUUGCCUUUCAGGAGGGUGGCUGGACUCAGAAGGGCAAGGUGUCCAGAAACAGCCUGUCGAUAAUGGAAGGGGCUGGCACCAAAUCUUCCAGUUUCAGGUAAAAGAUGCGCUGCAGUCCCAGUGUGCAGAGAGAACGCAAGUCAGCAAGAACACCCAGUACCUUAGGCUCUGCGGACUCGAGCGGCUGUCCUUUGUUUUGGCAACUGAAAGUUAAGUGAUCUUUCAAACUGCUUGUGAUCUUGUUGCAUAGCUCUUCCACUUUCUUUGGUUCUUUUAAGCCAUGUCGUUCUGCAAAGUGAGGGCACGAGAGAAAAAACACAGACAUGUCAGCAUCCCUACUUCAAGUGGAGAGGACUCAUUUGCUUCAGCAUAACUAUGUGCUCUGGUAAUCGAAGCAAAAGAUGCUUCAAAAAGUGUAUGAUUUCUUUGAGCAGUUUGGGUCAUACGGUGUCAGUUGACCUUUUUGUCACACAGAAGAAGAGAUGAUAAGCCCCUGUUUCUUUUUUAACUGCUAAAAUGGGUAACAGAGAUGCUCAAUCAUGACUGAAAUUCUGGUACAAUGCAUCCGAGUAUCCUGUGUAUCUCAUAUGAUUUCUGCGAUAGGAGACAGAAUUAAUUGGGUGAUUUUCCAGCAAAACUAUCACAGGAGGUGUUUUGGAGAUUUCUGUGCUUCCCCACCAGUUGUGAAUGCUCAAUAACUAUGGCAACCAUUAUUUAUUCAGUGAAUUCAAGUGGCGAUCGAUAUCCUUAGCCAGCUUCAUCAGCGCCAGGCUCAGAAUUCCACCAGGAAUUUGCAAACACUCUUAUAAGAAACUAAAAGCAACUCGCCAUCCUUUGUUAUUUUGAUCAGCUACUGCUUUUUAACUUACUCUUCUUUAAAAGGCUCAAAAUAAAAACAGCCUGGAAGGUGACUAUUUUGCUUUGAGUAAGCAGUGCCUGAAGUGAAAAGGCUGCUGUGUUAUCCAUCACAAAAAAUCUCAACAUUCCUAAAAGCAAGGGAAGCCACGGCUUGUCCCCAUUUGAAUAGCUUUUUAAAAUGCUACAAUGCUGCUAAACACAUCCCCAGUUCUUUAAGCUUAGGUGCAAUGAAUCGGAUUUGUGAUUCAUUCAAAGCUGGCUCUUUAUUAGUACACAAGAGAGAUAAUUUCAUGUUGUUUGCUAUCGAGCUUUAGUGGAUGAAUGAAUUUAACAUUUCAGAAGAAUAAUCUCAAAUAAUUUUGUGGCCUUUUGAUUUUUCCUCUGACUUGGAAACUUACGGAUAAGUAAAAAGUGGCUUCACAACAAAGUGCUCACCAUUUACACGCAAAACAGCAUUAGACUGGAUAGAGUAGUCUAAGAUAACACAGGUUAAAUUAAUUUUAGCCAACUACAGAUGGAAAAAGCAGUGAUGGUAUAGGAUGAGCAGCAAGAAAUCAUGGCCUUUCUUCUGUUUGAUGUAUCUGAAGCUGUGUGCCUGCCCCAUUCCUGGCAGCCACGGGCCAUGUGGUGCCCAUUGCCUCAAGUCCUGCUCCUUCCUCUUUACUCCAGGAGGAAGUGGCAACAGAUACUUUCUCUGUCUACCUCCUAGUUUUCUUUACUUCCAGAAGCAGGCACAGCAGUGCCUUGCCUUGAUGUGUGUGUAUAAACUACUCAUGCCUCCUCUCACUGAUGUUUUUGGCUAGAUGCUCUUGACAAACCAAUAAAACAGAUGGAAUUCAAUGAAGGCAGUCAGAAAUGGAAAGGUCUGAUUUUCCCGUGAUUUUCACCCCUUUUACACUGUUUCAACUUUACUGACUUACGCAGAGCUAUCUCCUGAAAAAUACUAGUUUGGGAUCAGAACCAGGACGCACGCACAUACAUCUCUGGCCAGAAAGUGAAGCAAUGAAGUACCAUCAACCUGCUCUGCUGCUUCAGAGCAACGCUCAUCCAAGCGGCAGCAUCUGCUUCAGACGUCUUUUUCACCUUGAAGGAAUUAAGAAGCUUGGGUAUCCUAAGUGCUUUGUUUACAUUAAAACAUGAGGAGUCAAUGAAUAUUUAAAGCCUUUCCAGUAAAUGUUGAGUAGUGUAAUUAUGUAAACCUUAACUACACAGGUCACUAGGAGUAAAUACUUAGCCAGAUUCUGCCAUUAAAAAUCUUGGGGGAUAAAUAUUUUAUACAAAUUUGAAAAGCUGUAGGUUGUUGUUGGUUUGUUGUUUUUUUUAUACCCCUAGCCCACUGAGAAUUUGCAGGACAUUAAGUCAAUCUUGCGGUCUUUGAAAAGUUUCCAUCUUUUAAUCGGUUCUGAUGUUGUUUCCUGGCUAUGUAAGUGAAGAUAUCUUUAUAGAUCUACGGAGCUGAAAUACUAGAAUGGAUCCAACUCUGACUUCAGAAUAGCAGAACACAUUUUCAAACCAGUGCCUCAGUUGAUGUGUAUGUUGCCACAGAGUAUGGAAAAUGAUCUCUGGCUUUUGAGCACACAGCAAUGUUGUUAACAUUUCAAGUAAGAACUAAACAGUCUUUGUCUUACACUGACAAGUUCAGAAGGUUUCAUGAACGAAUUACAUCUUUGACGUCUAGCCAUGAAGCAUGCCAAUGCAAAAUACAGUGUGUGCAUAGACUGUAAUAUUAGCAGACUUACUUUAAAUAACAAAAUCAAGGAAAUUCAGGAGUAAGACAUGCUACAGCCUCAAUCUGCUCUUUGGUCCUACAACAUGAAAGCAGUCUCCAACAAACAAGAUUGUCCUCCCCUGCAUGAAUUGCCCACAUAUGAGUGUUUGAUGUUUGCUCUGUCUCUACAGAUGUCGUUUCUCACAACUGGAACUGCUUCACUGAUAGAAGGGGUUUGCAGACUCCAAUCCUUAAGGCAUCCCUUCAGGGAUCGUGAAGUCAAAGCCAUCUAUUUGGAAGCCUCUCUGCUAAUAAUGGGCACUUUGCCCUAGCAUUGCCAUUGCAAGCUGAUCGUUACCUCUCUCAGGUACACUUGAGGAGUCUUGGGUCUAAGUCACAUUGAAGGUUGAAGUUUAAUAGUUAGGGUUUAAAUAGCAGGAAACAGGUUUUCUUGCCUUUUCCACACAGCCAGUGACUUUAAGGCAAAGAAAGACCCACGUCUUUCUUAGUUAAACUGGAGGUAGCAAAAUGAGGCACCUGUGGUAAGUAGGUGCCCUGACUCUGAAGUCAGCGGUCUCCUAAUCGUUUGUGGUAUUCCACAGGAUGUUCUUAUCCACACAUAACUGAUAAGGUUAAGAUUUAUCCCAAGAAAGACAGCUAGUCAAAACCAAUAGAUUUUCUCUAACUGAUCGAGGAGGUGUGUAAAUAUUAUUGUAUUCAGACUUUCUUAUAAGGACAACUAAAAGGCAUGGAUAAAGUGAACAUAGGAUUUCUCAGCCUCGUGGUUUAGGAUACCAUUGAUUUUUACAAGAAAAAUGGUGAUUUAUGGCAAAGAUGCUCUCCGUAAGCCUGUCAAAAUGAUUCACUGGAAGUCUUGCCUUUAAAGCUCUGCAAACUUAGCAGCUCAUUCUGGCAAAGUGAACAUGGCAAGUUUCUUACACCCUUCUCCUUUUCCCACACACAAUUUCCGGGAAUCUUGAUGUGAUUCUGUGCUAUAAUUAUGCUGAUCAGAAAAAAAAACUUGAUAGGAAGAGAGUCAAAGAGCAGGAAAAGCAGUCACCAGCUGUGCCAGUCCUUUCCCUGCUCUCUGUCUUAGGGCAGAUGACACCAGGGCUAGGCAGAUUCGGUGCUACCUUCAUGAAAAACACUCUCAAAAAGAACAAGUGUUUUGAAGAUCUCGAGUAGCUGAGAGACCCUUAGGCUCUGCGCUCUGUGUCAGGGCAGGUCAGUUUUAGCUUUAAUUAAUUCUGAGGUGUCAGAAACAGUCCUGUCAGAUAUGCAGCAGAUUAAUGGUACAGACUUAAAAUAGGCCUCUUGAUUGUCUCGGUUUCAAUACAAUUAUCUGAUUUUCUCUUCCCCCUUCACAAUCCUCUUCCCCUUCUCUAACUCAAAGAAACACCAGGCUCUGUUGCCUACAGCUUUCUGAUUGCCUUAUACAUGCUUGGCUGCACAGCAAGGCAGCAACUUGACAGGCCCGGGAGCAUCCUUUCCCAUUGCAGCCUGGCCCACAUGCACCCUGCCUAACUUUCAGGCACUUCACAAAGGUCCCAGGCUGUGGGCACAGACUUCUGAGCUCCUUCUACCAUCAAUGCAAAGACAAAUGUAUUGGAAGACGGUUUGGAACUGAGGUGGGUGAACCACCUUUAAGAGGUGAGAUCUGUACUCUUCUGGGCAAAGAACCUAAAGUUAGGUGAGCUGAAUGACCAUAGAGGACAGCACAGUGUGCUCCCUCCUUUAGGAAAACUACAGCUUAACGCAGGCCACCAGGAGCUACAGGAGGAAAGACUUCUUGCUUCAUCAAAAGAGUGGGAGAGGAGAAGGAGGAGUGAGUGCUUCACUUCAGAUGCUGACAGUAUUUCCCUCAUCAAAGUGGAGAGGGGAAGGCAGACAAUGCAAUCUGGAGGGGUUUUUUUAUAAGCGGCUCUCCUACACUCCUCCAGUCUGCCACCUGCUCGUAUAUAGACCCAGCACACGAAGCACCCACUCCGGAGAAUCCUGGCAACAGGACUGAGGGUAUCUGCUGCUGAAGAGGAGGUGAGCCUCUGCCCCUGUGGCAAGUCAGACAGAAGGGAACUGCAGCAGCCAGACCCUUUUUGGCCAGCCCAGAGGCAUUACUAUUUCUUGGUACGACUGAUGAUGCUAAAAACUCUGUUUGUAAACUGCAAGGGAGAGCUCGGCAGCAGGAAGACAAAUAUAAACUCACCAUUAAUUGAAACCCCACAAUACUCUUCAAUGUUCUACUGCCAGUCUAACAAAGCAGUAAGAGUGUGAAUGAGCCUAGUAUAUACAGUGGCUCUGAACUGGUCUGUAAAAUACUUAAAUUAGAACAUAUGCCAAAAGAGCUUGGCUAAAUUAAGGCGAGAAUGCUCUGUGCUCAGCAGCAUCCCACUGAGAGUGUCAAGUGGGCAGAACAAUAAUAUUUGGAUGUGGACAGAGAAAGAAAGAGGCAGAGAGGAAAAGAGAGAGAAAGAAAUCACAAGCAGUUUUAGAGUGAGCACAAAUUUGAGCCUAAGAGUGAGCCCUGCAGAUGAUCUUCACUGUAAUCUCAAUCCUUCUAUUUUGACAUUGGUAGAAGAGCAUUAUUAGUGACCAUUCAGGAUGUUAAAGGGGUAUUUUAAACAAUAGUCUGAGCUCAUAUCUGGUCUAUUCUGCUUCUUCACCGUCAACACAGUGCAAGAAUUAGAGAAAGUCCAGCAUGAAGUGGUUGUACAAGAACACUUGUGAUCUAUGCAACUUACUAAACUAACAGAUGUCAUCAUCAUGAAACUAAGGACAGAGCCUUUCUUUCCAUGUUGGCACUCUUCUUUAGCUCAUUAUAUCCUACAUCCCAACAGAACGAGCGACCCAAAAGAAUAGGACAGAACCCAUUUUUUGCUUUCACGGGGAUGUGGGGUGAGUGUCUUCUAAUUACUUUCUUCUGGCUGAUGCUCAGAGCACUGCUGAUGUGCUCUGGAGGAAGUUGUGUCCAACCCUUCUUAACCAACUGAAGGAAGUAAAAAAGGAGAAGAGAGACAGAGAGAGGAAGAUCCUAAAGGAGUGCCUUAAAGAAAAAAGAUGUGCUAUGACAUUGGGGAAUUUUAACUGUUUGCAAGCCACUCACAAUAAACCAAAUGUCAUUCUUGCAUUCCGGGUGCUCUUUCAAGCUUAUCUCCUAUCUGAAAGAACUUCAAAAUUCAGCAGCACUCUGACAUGGUACUUUUCUUUCUAUGGGACUCACUGGAAAUUCCCAGGAAACAUCAAAUAAACAGGAAAAGCACAAAUAUAUGAUUUGUUAAUGGAUGCAAAUUUACAAAAUCUUUUCCUGUUUAUCUUAUGCUAUGCAUACCACCAGUUUUACUCAAAGUAAGCAGAGAAUUAGUGAAUACUGUGAUAUUCAAUAGGUCUCCUGCUGUUCUAUUCAAGAUUACUGAACAGAAUAAAUGUUUGUAUAUGCCGAUAACCAUGCAUCACAUACUGUGACCUGCAGCUGCAGCUGAGAUAGGACACAGGGACAGGACCUCCAGGCAGCUCAGUAGGGUUAGUUACAGGGCUUUGAAUCUACCAUGGUUGUUACUGGGGAGUUGAUUUGAUAUCCCAAAAUGAGAGAUCGGCCCUCAGCACCUUGGGACAUUGGGAACAGCGGGAUGUCUUUUACUCCCCAACACAAUGUGUUAUAUUUAUCCCUUUCUCCUGUACUGGGAGGGAGAUGUUUGUUGUUCCCAUCACCCUCACAGAACAGCAAACAUAUGAAAGCAAGCAGUGGCUUCUCUUACUUUCCUCCUUCACCAAUAAUUUCAAUGACUACAAAGGUUUUGUUUCCUAAGAACAUGUCCUUGUUUGGUAUACGGAGAGCACUCAGGAAAUCAAGCAGAACAAACAGGUCAUCAUUCUCAGGAGCAUAUUCUGUCCUAGGAGCAAGAAUUCUUAGAUUUGCUGCUACCUAAGGUGUUGUACAGUAUUUAAACCAGCUAUGACUGUUACACAUCAAGAGUUUGUUCAUUUUCUCUUCUCUUUUUUUGGCUGAGCAUUCAAGCCGUGAAAAAUUGACAAAUGUAAAAUAAGAACUGGAGCAACUUGUGUGAUAAUGAAGAAAAUGUUGCUCAAGCCAACGUUUUGUUGUGCAGCGCUUCUAAUAAAAGCAAACAACUAAAUUCACAAAACUGCAAAUGGCCUCAACACAAAAGACAGUGACACUCAGCAGUUGGAUAUCCUGUAUUCCUGUAAAAAGGUCGUUCCCUCUUGCUCUAAGUCGCAAGAAGCAUUUGAACCACGGCUUACUACCUUCUGCCUUCAACAGUUCAGUACAGGAAAGAAGUGUCUUCUCUGUAGGAUAAACAGUGGCACAAAAACAUCCACCUGAAUCUAAGCCAAGACUCAAAAAAGUCACUUAAAAAUGCUCAACAGAUACCUGAUUUCCAAAAUUAAUCUUCACUGCUCUUCCUUUUUGGUAGGACUGUCUGAAAACCAGCAUCUGACUUGUCAUACUCAAAAUGUCAAGAGAAGACAGGAUGCCAUUUCUCAUGGGCAAAUCUCAAGGCUUUCCUGAUUAUGAAUAUUACAAAUAUACUACUGCUGAGAAAUUCUCAGCAGAACCACCACCUCAGCAUUUAGUGAUCAGCCACAGCUACCUGAUUUCCUCACUCAUUUUCCAUCUUUUAGUAUUGCUCAUCUUUAUACAGUACCAUCCAUUUUCAGGUGGCCAAAUUUCUGACUGAGUCCCUAAGUGCCCUUAUCUGAAACCUGUGAAUACAAAUCACUAGACACGGGAGCCUUGAUCUAAUUUAGAUUGCAUGGAGGGGUACACUCUUCCGAGAGCAAAUCAGCAGAGAUAUUCUGGCAUUGUGACACAAAAGAAUAAACAGAAAACUACAUGAAUUUUAAGCACCAUCUCAUACAGGGGAGAAAACCACAGAAUCACAGAAUCAUAGGGGUUGGAAGGGACAUCUGGAUCAUCCAGUCCAACUCCCUGCUAAAGUGGGUUCCCUACAGUAGGGUGUACAAGAAAUCAAGAAAAAAUUGACAAAUACAGAAAACCUUAAAGCUGUUAGGGACAGAAAUGCUCUCCUUCUAAAAGCAAGAAUUAUUUCUAUUUGUUUAGAAACUUUGAGAAGAGCAGUACAAGAUAGCAAACUCCUGAGAGGGCUGUUAGCAAUGAAAGGAAGGAUUGUGGGGCUUUAUCAAUUAAAAAAUAUUUCUAUUAAAUACUGUAUGGCGAUCUGAGCCAGUCACUGGACAACCCGGACUCUUUAAAGACAACCAAAUAGUGUCUGACUCAACAAAAAGCAGGACAUGGCUUUGUAAGGAGAAAAAACUUUUCAUCCUAUAGAACAGCCUUAUCUGUAGUGAGACUGAUAGUUUGCAGGGGCUCCUCUUUAUCUACCUAUAUCCUCUCAGUCAGAAAGGUAAUCAAGAACAAGCUCCAUCAGUCUGUGUCUACCUAAAAAGACAUGUCAAAUAUAUCAGAAAUUACCUAAAUCAACGGCAAGCACUGCACAUAUGUGAGCAUAUAUGCCUGUGGAUACAUAUAUGUGGAGAGAGAUAGUAACUGUCUUUGAUUUACAGAUACAUAAAUGCACACACACACAUACUGUUUGCAUAUAGUUAUGUACAUAUGCACACAUAGGUAAUUAUGCUUACGUAUGUGUGCUUGUGUGCGAUCUCUGCAUAAGGAAGUCAAAAAUAAGUUGGGAAUGUUCUUUACGACUUUAACAUAUCAUUCAUUUUGGAUUUUUUUUUUCAUGUGGCACAAAGCAACCCCAAAUUAUUCUGGACUUGAGAGUUUUAUCAAAGAAAGCAGAAUCUGGACCUUAGCAUACCCUUUCCAAAAAAAGAAAUCAAAUGUAAAUUAACUAAAACCUGAGAAUACUUCUGGCAAUCAGCAAAGCAUCAGUGCUACAACAACUAUAAGCAAACCCCACUCUCCAACAAGAGGGAAGUGUACCACCUAAACUCUGAAGCCAAAAAUUUAGCCCUACAAAUGUCAGUGGGAAUUGGUCAAUGUACAGAUUUUUGCAUUUGCCACUGAGCAUUUUAUUGCAAUGUUUCCCAAGCAUCAACUCAUCCACAGAAGGACUGCAGCUGAUUUAGUUGAGGUUACGCCUGCAAACUGGUAGUUGCCUAAAACACUGGAGGAAAUCAAUAUCCACCCCAUCAGGGCUCCUAGCAUCCCCAGGCAGACUCAGCUCGAGGCAUGCUGAGGUGCUGGCUCAUGCUGUCAUCACACCUGCAGCACCUUUCUGUUAGCACCUUUUCUGAAAGGAGAGUCAGGCUUUCAGCUGCCCUGAGUUCCUGUGGCUUGUCAGACACCCUCACUCCUAGCACUCCUCGCCCCUCCUGCCUCUCCAGCCGUGCCUCUUAAACUAUCAAAAGCCCAAAGUAUGCAGUGCGCGCUUCAAGGGGCUUUGUUGGUUCAGGGAUGAGAAAGUGACACUUCAUAACAUUAUGCUCCUCUGUUUUGUACUUCCUAGCCAGAUUUUUUUGCGGGUUCUUACUUUAGUUUCUGGCUGUUCACCCCGCCAGGCAGAAGGGGAGGUAUGGUCACAUAUCUUGGCACACCCAAAAGCUUUUGUAAAGCUGCAGAAGAGACCUUUUUUCUAACUUUUCUCCGAUUUUUCUCUCUCAACAAAUCAGAAUACAGAAUACCUACAGCAUUCUAUGCUAUGCUCCCAAAAGCAGCACUCUUUCAGCCACCGUGCUAUACUAGCCGUCUAGCUUCUAGCUCUCAACUAACAUCACCCUGAUGUUAGUUUUCCCAUGCAGAAGACUUUGCUCUGGUGAUUUGUUGUUUUCUAGGAAUUUAGCGAGGAUUUCAAAAGCUUUUUGUAGGAGCUGCUCAGUUUGCUUGGAAGCAGUUUGAUUUUUAGAGACAGUUCCAAGAAAACAAUGAAAGCAAGAAGAAAUAAAGAGUUAGAUUAUAGUUUAAUAGAUAUAUCUGACGGUCUACUGUUACAGUCUCCAAUUUCAGGGAGGCCAUUACAACACUUAAAACCUGCAAUUACUUUAUCCGGGACAUCGCUAAGUUAACUGAAAUUGCCUGAAUCUAUGCUAAAGUAAAGCACUGGAGUCUGAAGCAUUACAGUAACAAAGGAACGCUUACCUGUAAUCAUAGUUAGAGCUGAUAAACUUGCUAAGGCUGGGAUAUCAAGGUUAAGGCUCUUUAAGUUUAAGGAAAAGUCUUUAAUAGAGUCGAGCCACUCCCCAAAUCCACGAAGGCACUGAAGUCUAUGAAGCACAAGUCCAUUGCAGAAUACAAACUUAUCCUCAGCAGUAUCAGACCUCAAAUAAAAAUAAUUGAAAAAAUUAGAGACGCAUCUUCCACUUUACAGCAAAAUGCAUAACCAGUAUUGAAGUGUCUGUCAUUUAAAAUCCAAGGCACAUUAUCCUGAGACAUAUGUGGGCAUUCACGUUUGACAAUAUGCUUCUCCCUUGGGGCAAAAGUACAACAAACAAGCUUCUAUGAUUGCUUACUUCGUAGAGUUAUAAGCCCGAGGUUAGCUGUAGCAUGUGGUGUAGACUGUCUAAUUAGUUAAGAUUUUGGUCCUGCCCAAAGGCAUAAACAGAGAAGACAUUUUACAUUAAAUACUGUAUGUUUGAAUUGCAGUAAUACUACGUGCGUGCAUUUUGAACUGCAAAACUAAUAAAAGCUGAGGAGAGAUGGGGUUCUGCAACUCUCAGUACUUAUUUAGUCUGAUCUGCGUUUUUCCUAUUGUAAAAAUUAAUAGAGAAAAAAACAAUGGAAAACGCACGCAAUAAUGCACAAUAAACACAACAUAAUAGGCUCUUCUAUGCGAGAACCUAUUGCAAGAGUGAUGUUACUGCCAAGUUCUCUCUCCUCCCACCCCCCACUGCCAGUAUCCCUGUUAAGAGCUAUGUGCAAAGGUCAUUUUUGACCUAAAGAAACAAGGGCGUAAUUCAAAUCACCGGUGUGGAAUUCCUCCAGUCCCUGAAAGUGUCUUUGGUGAAACAUCUUAACUGGUGCCAGGCUGACAGAUAGCACCUCGCUCUGUUGAGUGACUUGGUAUUAAGGGGAAAAAUAAUCCGAGCAAGACUUUAAAGCUUCUUUAGCCCUUUCAAAAACAGACUACAGAGGUGCGCAUGCAUGAAAAAGGAAAGGAGAAAAAAGGAGAAGCUUCUAUACUAAAGUGCUUUUAUAUAGUUUAUGGUGAUGAGUAUGAAGCAAAGUUGUUCAAACUGUACCCAAAGACCAAUUUUGAUUACUACGGAAGAAGAGGAUGUGGUACAUCAAAUACAAAGAAGCGCAUUAGUGAGAACUAUGCUCCCUUUUUCAAUGACUGCCUUAUUUUUUUUUCUGCAGUGUAAAACAAAUUAUCCAUCAUCUCUAGCGGAUGCAGACAUUGUUGUUUUCUAUCAUCAUUUUGUUUGUUUGUUUUUUUUGCAAUUGACUGCAUUCCAACAUAUCACCGUAUUUCAUCACAGAAUUAUCAUAGUAUCAUCAUAGAAUGGCCUGGGUUGAAAAGGACCACAGUGGUCAUCGAGUUUCAACCCCCCUGCUAUGUGCAGGGUCACCACCCACCAGACCAGGCUGCUCAGAGCCACAAACGUGCAGAUGGGUGAUUUUUCACAUCAGCUGAAGAGGAAAUGGAAUAAUUAGUUACCUGAUGGAGAGUCUUAGUACAAACAGCUCCAAAAAAGCUGAUUCUAUGAGUAAUGUCUGAUCUUCUUUCGGGAGGUCAGUAAAUCCUGGAAUUUUUUCUGCCCAGCCUCUGGAUAUGUCAAUGGAGGCAGUCAGAAGAUUAUAGAACUGUUGUACAUGUUCUGCAUCUGUGCCUGCAGCAGCCUGAUCGGUGGAACAGUACUGAAAGAAAAACCACAGAAAGCAACAUUACAACAUGACAGGCAUUUCAGGGCAUCCUGAGGAGCAUAUGGUGCUACCUGCCUAGCAGUGCUUCCUUCUGCGGCAACGCUGGCACAAGCAUCUAAUGCACACUGAGCAGGUGUCCAUCUACCUACCUGCUUAGCUACCUGCAGGCAUUUUGCUAUUCAGAUGUAUAUUGCAAAGACAUUUCCACAGUUAGAGAAAUGGUUUGAAAUUUGUAAGUAAUAUGCAGUAUUUAUCACAUUUUGCAAGUAGCUCCAUGCUAUUAGCAAACAGAAACAGCAGUCUGGUGGGGAGGAUAAUUUCAACCACAAUAAAGGAGGAACACUAUUUAGCUUACUGCAAUUAAACAUUUUUCCCAUUGAUGAAUUUGUCUCAGUAUGUCCAAAAUGCAGAUUUCUUCCCCAGCCUCUCAAACUGCAUUUUAUCAGACAGUGAUAGAGACACGCAAGAUAAAUCAUCUUUUAUCUGACACGUGCAGCAUGACUUCAUUUGAAUACAGAAUUGGUUGAAAGUAAACCAGCUGCCCCGUAUCACCUCUUAUCCUGCAUAGAGAAGCGUUUCAGGCUCAGGAGAACCUAUUAUCCCACUGAUUCGGCCAUAACUCUUCCAGACGACCGCUCGACAGCCACAGCUUGCAGAACUUCCCCACAGCCCUCGGGCAGCUCCCUCCCUCCACUCCCUCACUUCCUCAGCACUGGAUCCCUGUCACUCCCAGGGCACCGCUCUUUUCGAGAGAAAAUGUAAUAGGAGCUUUGGUGGCUUAGUCUGAUUCUGUGCUUGGAAAGUAACAGGAACCUGCCCACCAGGCAUCGCGUGGGGUAUUUCUGGGAGGGACUCUGUAUGAGCCCUACCUCUGAGACUCAGCCAGGGAAAGGAUGGGGCGAUCUCCAUUAGUGCAUACCCGUUGGAAGCUAGUUUCCACACGCAGUUAGGCCUGGGCCCAUCAGCCUAAAGGUAUUCCUAGCAGCCCAAGCCAGAGGGGAAGCAGAAGGACCCACAUCUCCUUUCCAUUGAGCAUCGUGGGAGCCUGGAGGGAUCUUACUACAGGCAUACCCCUUUGGCUGAACAUAUCACCCAACGUCCCCUCUGUGCAUGACAGAGAGGGAGGAAUGGCAAGCACAUCCUCUUGGGUAGGCGUCCUGCUCCCUGCCUGCCCUAGUUGGAGCUGGUUGCUGUGGGUAGGAAAGGAAUGAAUGAAGGACAGAGUUUCACAGAUUGAUUGUUGAACCGCAGCAGAGACAUGAGAAGUCCUAGAAACCUCUGGCCAUAUCUAGGCUGUCAGUGCUCACAUGGAGACACAUUCUGCCACAGCCACUCUGAAGGAGGACAGAGAUGCAAGAGGGAGGAUAAAAUACACAGAAGACGGGAAACAGCAGUAGAAAAUUUGUACACUGCAAGAGGUUUAUCUGUUCAGUCCUCCAACUGAAAGAAGCUGAUGAGGAAACUCAAGCAGUGCAAAGCACUACUCCUGGCACAGGACUGCAGCACAAUGAAUGCGCUGGAGAACAGUUAGUGGGUAGAAAAAGAUGGUAUGCAGAGACCUUGCAGCCCCAGGUAAUGAAGCUGAGAUAGUGAGUGUGAGGUGGUGGGCUAGUCCACCUUGUGGUCUUCAGCUCCUCAAACUCUAGAAGAUUUGCCCUGCUUUGCAGGUGAGGUGACUGAGAUGAGGUGACUCCUUUUAAUGUGAGAAAAUAGAAAAUAUGGGCUGAUGGAAAUUCCUGCCUUGCCUACAGGUAGUGUUAAGGCAAGGCAAGUUCUUGACCCUCUGAUCAAUGAAAAGAGGGGAAAAGAAAAAAGAUACUACCCUAAAUUCACCCAAAAUGCAACACAUUGCAAGUUGGUGUAAUGAUAUCAGGUAUUAACUUCUUCUCAAUACUUAUAAAGCAUUCCUUCAGCAAAAGUAAGACCAAGUUUUAAUAUUGCCCAACAAAGCUGAAUGCUGCAUUAUGUCACAUGACUGAAUGCUACAGUACUGUAUACCCCACGUGGGCCACUUAAUUAAAUUGAAUGCACAAAGAAAAAGAAAUUAACCCGUAUAUGUUGUUACAGUUCAGCCCAUGAGAGCAUUUUUAGAAGAAAGGUAAAAACUACAAGGAAUUAUGCAGUUUUGAACUGCUAUAACAUGUCACUGCUUGCUACACAGAGUUAGCACUUACAGAGAAGAGCUGAAAUACAAUAUUAUUUACUUCCACCGGUCUUAAUGAGUAUAUAAGAAGGCAUAAAAAAAAUGUAUGCUUCAGUUUUAUGCACAAAAAACUUUUUUCUUCUUUUUCCCCUCGUGAUUAUUUCAUUGAGGAGAAUCAUAGAAUGGGUUUGGUUGGAAAGGACCUCAAAGAUUAUCCACUUCCAACCCCCCUGCCAUAGGGAUAUCCCCAAAAGGGAUAGCUCUGCCCUAUGCAGUGCUUGCCGCCCUGCUAGGAAUUAAACAACUCCGACUGGCUCAAGGGGGAGAUGUGUGCCUUGCAAGCAACGCUGAUUUAUAAGGUAUAUCUAAAAGGCUGAUAGCUUGAUAGCAUGAUCCAGCCCGACCCUUUGCCUACUUUUAUCAGACCUCCAUGGACUGCUGGAGCUACAAAAGUCUAACAACGGUGGUGUUGCAUAUUUACAAUACGAUAGCUAGAAGCUAGGCUUGUUUCUCCGUGCAUCUACCCUUCCUGUGUCAGAAGCACCGACAUUUGCUACAUUUUUUAGUUGGGGAUUGGAGCGGGAUUAUUGGCUGAAUGCCCCUCCAAAAAAUAAACACCUCCAUUUAAGUCGGUGGCUGCUUUGCCUGAAGAAGGGCAGCAAGAUACAGGGUCUGCUUCUCAUCUCACUUACUGAGAAGUCUAAACCCGUGGAAUUGUACCAGUGAAACAGGUGUGAGACCUGACCACGGCCCUUGGCCUUUAAAAAGUUCAGAAACCAAAUUCUCUUCCUAGCAAUUGCUUUUUGAAACCAAGUACCUAAAUAUACCAUUGCUGUGGGCUGGUAAGUUAAAACCAGUGCUGAAAUGAGAAGUAGCCAUGUUCUCAACAGAACUGGUUCCACUGUGUUUUGUUUUAAAAUUCACGGAUUAUGCAAUUUAAUUUUGUUUUUUGGUGUAGAUGGUUGCAUUUGUUUGGAGGGAAGAGGCGCACGUUCCUCUCUGAAACUCUUAUCUGUAUUUUUGCAACAGUCAAGACGUUGCAAACAUCUUGCAAACAUGAAGACCAUGCUAAACAUUAAGGUCGUGACUAUGGAAGCGUUAGGACUGACUCCAAGCCAGGCUUCCAGAUCCACCCAUUUGUGGUGCACGGCAGGGUCACGGCCGAGCAGAGCGUGCCGCAAGCCCGUCCUUACAGGUACAGGGUCCUUCACAUUAGUUUUGAGCUUUACAGUGGGAUUCCUGCAUGUUUCUGUUAGUUAAUCUCAGUGUCUACUCAGCAGUCCUAUCUGAUUUCCCUUAACUUUUUAAAGAAGUAUAAGGUUCAUGGAAAGCAUGUGAAUCUAUUGCUUUCAUUUAGCUUAUUUUUUGUAUUUUCAGUACUGCCGAGCAUAACAGAUUAGUGUAUGAUUUAAUGUUAAGAAAAACGUAGGUAUUAGCGUGUCCUAACAGACAACCAUACAUAAUCUUUUAGCUACCGAAACUAAAUUAAUCUGCUGUCAAUCCCAUGCUUUCUGUAACGACCAACUGGAUUGUUCAGCAGUGAGACCUACGGACUGUUUCCAUUUGAACAGGAAUAGCUGCCGCAGGAUGAAGAAGAAAGUCACAUUAAAAAGGUCAGAGUUUUCAUUUAAUUGCUAUUAUUUAGAGUGCAAAAUAAUGUUGCUUCUAUAGGUAAAUACGUGAGAUUGGAUAAUGCUCUCAUGGACUGAGCUGUCAUGCUCAUGUAACGCUAAGGAACCCAGCAGAUUCCUGUCCAAGAGCUCAGCUGGACGUGGACCUUGGUGUUUGCAGAACGACCCCGAGACUCUCUGGGCUGUCCGUGCGGACAACUGCACAGAAAAGAAGGGGAUCAGUGGUGAGGACACGGUAAAACGACAGAGCAGCAUGAGCACCUGCUUCCCCUGCGAUGGCCAGCCCAGCAAAAAUAAGAGCAUUCUCCAAUUUCAGCACAUGCUGUUGAUGCCUUUGAUUGCAAAGAAACACAAAUGGUACCAAAACCGCUUAAAACCAUGACCGUAAGCAGCAGAAUAACUGCUUCCUUGGAGCCCAGCUGUGUUCCUAGCGCUCGUGCUUUGUUUGCAGCACGCCUAUGUGCCCCUAUAUGCACACACACAGCCCUACUGCUGAAAGAAAACAGAGUGUGAAACACAAAUGUCACCUGCUAUAUGGCAGGGCUGUUCUUUCACAGUAACUUUAGCUUUCUCAAAGCGGUCAAAAAAUAUGGUCACACUAUAUAGGCUGUAUUUCCCCUGUCAGUAUUUGCAAUAGGACUGCUCACACAGUAUUACUCACAUACUUAAAUAUUUGCAGAACUGGGACUAAUGAGUUGAUCCAGUUUCCAUUUAAAUUAAUUGCAAAUUUACAAUCAGCUCGUGGCCACGAGACAAGAUCCUAUGCAAAAAGGCACCCAAGACAACGGAACACCGACGCUGUAAGAUAACGCGUGGAAGCCAACCGCAUUAUUGAAUGGCAUUUAAAGUUCAUAAAGGACACGUUUUGGCCAGGGUCAAAUUAUCCCCUUGUGACCUUGCGAUCCUUGAACUCCGGGCUCCCAGAAAGUCUAAACACGAUAAACCCACUCAACUGGGCGACAGGAAAAAAAAAAUAAUCAACGUGUUAUUGCACAGAUGCACGAAUCUGGGGGGCCGCUAGGAAGCUAAAAUUGCCAAGUCCAUAGUAAAGACAUCUACGUCCCCCCCCCACGCACACACAGACACACACACACACGUGCUCGUUAAACGUAGCGCUCCAGCAUUCGGGAUAAUAAUAGCAGUAGCCCUCACC